Long non-coding RNA from Falco peregrinus (peregrine falcon), 1421 nucleotides. RefSeq lists it as uncharacterized. The transcript is spliced from 4 exons. NCBI's taxonomy places the organism in Eukaryota, Metazoa, Chordata, Aves, Falconiformes, Falconidae. The record is from RefSeq and is a predicted model, not a curated record.
CAGAGCUUUCAGUGUCUCUGCUGUCAUUUUUUCUGUCUCCCAUCAUCUUCUUGAAGAAGAAAAGAGGUAUGGCAGUGGGUAUGUCAUAAAAUGGCAGUGGGGGAAGGGUUAGGGUGUGUUGUCUCUACUGGGGUCUCUAGUGGUGGCCAUCCAAAAAUCAAAUCAGAAAGAGAAAACUAAGAAAAUUAAUAAGGCAUAAGUUUGCUUGAUUUUUUUUUUUCUUCCUCCUCCAAUUGCUAAAUACUUACAUACCAGAAAGACAGAGGUUAUUUUUUUCUAUGACUGAAAUGCCAUGAAAAGUUAAACCAAUACACAUUUUGCACAGUCACAGAAGCAGCCAUGGCUCAUGGAGGCAGCUCUUGUGUUCAGUAAAACCAGACAUCUCUAAACCCCAGACAGACACUUGUUAGGUGUUUCAAAAGUCUUCAUGUGUGAAAGGAAAAAAAAAAAGACAGGUAAAAUCCAUCAGUCACUGUGGGAAGCUGGUGCCUGUGUCUACCUACCUUUCUCACCCCUGGACACACGGGCCCCACCAGCUCCCAUCUGCCCCACCGUGCUCUUAGCUCUCUCUCUGAUACAAGUUGUAUGUGCAAUGUCUUGCUGCAAAACCGUAAAAAUAGCAGGUCUCUUCUUGGCACAUUGUGCUCAUCAGUUUUGUCCAAGCCAAGUAUGUGAUUUGAUGGACACCAUGCACAUGUGGAAGACACUUCAGGUCCAGAAGUCAAUGGAGAAGGCAGAAAGGAAGAAAAAGGUGAAACUCAGGAAACUAAUCUCGUGACUUGCUGUCCUCAGCUGCUCUGCCUGGUCUGCUCUUUUCGGGAGGGAAGCAUUGACCAUCGUCCCAACAGCCGAAGUCUGAGCAGAGUCUGAACUGCGAAGGUGUCUUAAAUAUUUCACCUGGUUCCUAAGGGAGACUUGAGGUCAUGCUCCCUACACAGUCUGCCGGUGGGGGCUCCUUUCCAGAUGCAUGCACCUGGCUCUGGUCCCUCUUGGAAAACCUCAAGUUCCUGCUGGUUUGGAGCAUUGGAGCACAAGCAGCACCAGAUCCCCUCUACCAGCAAGUGAUCCUCUUUGAGAUGUUUAUGAUGCUCAGGCAGGACCUCAAUGCUUACAACACUUCUUGGCUGUGAGUCUCCAAUGCUAGGACAAGGGGGAGAAGUUCAACAAAGCGGCUAAAAACUAACAAAAGCUCCAUCCAUGGAGAUGAGUUGCCUCAAAGGAAAUCUGGCUUCCUCCGAACAGGCAGCCCAGCCUUACCGACGGCGACAGAAAAUCCCGGCCACCGCAUGGCUUCGAGCUGUAGUAAGCCUGAGCUCUGUCCUGCACGUGGCUUUCAAGCUGCCGGCCUCCGCGUUGAUCUCGAUGCCUUUCGGAGCCUCCAUCACCAGCGCGCGCGUCGGCGACUCCAGCCUGUAACAGAA